GGACCUGUAGCCCCCUCCCCAAGCCAAGCCUACAACCCAUCCCAUGGUGCAGAGCCCCUCCUAGCUCCCGUUCCCCAAGUCCUACAGCCCCACAUGGUUCGUCUCCCAUCUCCAUACCCUUCCCAUCUUAUCCGUCCACCAUCCUCUUCUCUUCUCAUCCAUUGCAGCUCAGCUUUUCCAGGCCUCUCUUGCAAUGAGCCUAGAGAUGGGGCUCCCUCCUCUCUUCUCCAUGCAUUUCUCCUGAACCUGGUUCCCCUUCUAUUUGCAUUUACCCCUCCCCUCCAUGGAAAAUGUGGUGCUGCAUGUGCGAACCCAGAAAUACACCUGGAAACACAAGAGUCCACUGGGAAGGUGCUGGCAGAGAUUCCCCUUGGGGCUCAGCCUGUAGGCAGCCCAGUUCGUGCACAGUCCUUUAUUAUACAUGAUGGUUUGGUCUUUCUUGCAGGGAUGGAGUACUGGGCUGGUGUUGGGAAGGCACUGGAGAGGGACUAGAGCUCUGAGGGCAUGUUUUACACCUACCUGGAGCCACCUCUGCUGUGACAUGUUGGUUGGGACCAGACCAAAUGGCAGCGGUGGACAUCUCCCAGCAUUAGGGAGAGGGGAGCAUGCCCUCACCUCUCCCCGUGCAAACUCCCCACCGAACACUAGCAGUAAAUCCUCGCUCAGGAUGUGGCCCGCAGAGAUGCCUGCAAGCAAACGGGCUGCAACACCCUGGCACUGAACAGCCCAGAGAGGUGGACGGAGGCCAUGGACCGGGAGCCAUGGGGACCCAAGAGCCGUGGUAAUGCUGAGAGGAAGCAGUCCUUCUCUUCCAGCCUAGGCUCUGGGCACCCUCAGCCCUACGGUGUUUGCUCUACGAGGACGGCGUUCGUCAGCAUGAGCACAGCUUUUGCCUGAUGAUUGAGGUACCCGGACCGGUCUCCGGGUUUGUUGGCUUGCCUGGAGGAUGCCCCCGGCUGUCACUGCUUCCUGAACAGCAGCCAAGCCCCUUACCAGAAGAAAACAAAUGCUGCAACGCCCGCGCCUCCGCCGGCAGGAGCCGUUCGUAGGUGUUGAAGAUCCCAGCAUCCGAAAUGAUAACAGGAGCAAAGAUGUUCACCAAAUCUUGGCCUUUCUUGACGCUCACACCUGGAAGGGAAAGGAUCGUCUGCACUGGUGCCUUUCCAAACACAUUUCCUCCAGCUUUCCGGAUAACGGGAAUGAUGUGGAAGGCAAUUUCCCCGGCCCCCCCUUUGGGGUACCACGCGC
Long non-coding RNA from Aquila chrysaetos chrysaetos, 1248 nucleotides. RefSeq lists it as uncharacterized. The record is from RefSeq and is a predicted model, not a curated record. The transcript is spliced from 3 exons. Lineage: Eukaryota; Metazoa; Chordata; Aves; Accipitriformes; Accipitridae.